UACGGGGGGGGCAAGCGUUGUUCGGAAUUACUGGGCGUAAAGCGCACGUAGGCGGUUCGUUAAGUCAUGUGUGAAAUCCCUCGGCUCAACCGAGGAAUUGCGCCUGAUACUGGCGGGCUAGAGAUCGAUAGGGGUGAGUGGAACUCCAGGUGGAGCGGUGAAAUGCGUAGAUAUCUGGAGGAACACCGGUGGCGAAAGCGGCUCACUGGAUCGAUACUGACGCUGAGGUGCGAAAGCUAGGGUAGCAAACGGG
This 253-nucleotide ribosomal RNA is filed under the name uncultured bacterium. Its description in RNAcentral is "partial 16S ribosomal RNA". It matches the Rfam family "Bacterial small subunit ribosomal RNA", at positions 524 to 776 of the family's 1533-position model. The record is from RNAcentral.